RNAcentral lists this ribosomal RNA (450 nucleotides) under uncultured bacterium. RNAcentral's name for it is "partial 16S ribosomal RNA". It matches the Rfam family "Bacterial small subunit ribosomal RNA", at positions 29 to 523 of the family's 1533-position model. The record is from RNAcentral.
AACGAACGCUGGCGGCAGGCCUAACACAUGCAAGUCGAACGGAUGUAGCAAUACAUUAGUGGCGCACGGGAGAGUAACACGUGGGAAUCUACCUUUUGGUUCGGAAUAACGUCGGGAAACUGACGCUAAUACCGGAUAAGCCCUACGGGGGAAAGUUCUUCGCCAAAAGAUGAGCCCGCGCUAGAUUAGCUUGUUGGUGAGGUAAUGGCUCACCAAGGCUACGAUCUAUAGCUGGUCUGAGAGGAUGACCAGCCUCACUGGGACUGAGACACGGCCCAGACUCCUACGGGAGGCAGCAGUGGGGAAUAUUGGACAAUGGGGGAAACCCUGAUCCAGCCAUGCCGCGUGAAUGAUGAAGGCCUUCGGGUUGUAAAGUUCUUUUGGUAGGGACGAUGAUGACGGUACCUACAGAAUAAGCUCCGGCUAACUUCGUGCCAGCAGCCGCCGCAG